Molecule: long non-coding RNA, 430 nt
Filed under: Mytilus galloprovincialis (Mediterranean mussel)
Lineage: Eukaryota; Metazoa; Mollusca; Bivalvia; Mytilida; Mytilidae
Source: RNAcentral
CUAGAACAAAAUUCAAACAAGAUGCUCUGACAUUAGCUUGCAUUUCACAACCCAUAUAAACUCAUUCACAUAUGGAAUAAUUUUCUCCUAAACUUAUGUCAUAUUAUUAAAAAAAAAACUAUAAAUAUAUACAUGAUAUGUAUGAAAUCAUUGACUGACCUAAGGGGGCCCGCUCCAGUCAUGCUCCAGUGAUUCCCUAUAUAAUCAACAACUUUUCCCCACAAAAGGGGGGCCCAGGGCCCCAAAGGGCGCCCCUGGAUCUGCUUAUGCUUUGUGUAGGAAAAUGUAUAAAUAUUUGUAUUUUUUCUAUGGUUCAAGUAAAAUUUUUCAAAUUUAUGAGACAAGAUUCUUAAUGAUGAUCUCAUGUAAAUAAUCAUAUAGAUUGUGUUAUCAAAUUAUUGAGAAAUAUAAAAUUUGACUAGUAAAAAUG